Molecule: ribosomal RNA, 301 nt
Filed under: uncultured bacterium
Lineage: Bacteria
Description: partial 16S ribosomal RNA
Rfam family: Bacterial small subunit ribosomal RNA
Source: RNAcentral
CAGCCGCCGCGGUAAUACGAAGGGGGCUAGCGUUGCUCGGAAUCACUGGGCGUAAAGGGUGCGUAGGCGGGUCUUUAAGUCAGGGGUGAAAUCCUGGAGCUCAACUCCAGAACUGCCUUUGAUACUGAAGAUCUUGAGUUCGGGAGAGGUGAGUGGAACUGCGAGUGUAGAGGUGAAAUUCGUAGAUAUUCGCAAGAACACCAGUGGCGAAGGCGGCUCACUGGCCCGAUACUGACGCUGAGGCACGAAAGCGUGGGGAGCAAACAGGAUUAGAUACCCGUGUAGUCCCUGUCUCUUAUAC